Molecule: ribosomal RNA, 732 nt
Filed under: Triticum aestivum (bread wheat)
Lineage: Eukaryota; Viridiplantae; Streptophyta; Magnoliopsida; Poales; Poaceae
Description: partial small subunit ribosomal RNA
Source: RNAcentral
GAGAAAUUUUUCCAACAAAGAUACAAAGACAUGGAAGCUUACGAAGGAAAAAAAUUUAAACUAAAGCAUUGUUGGGACUUGCUCAAAGGAUGUGACAAGUGGAAGUUGAUUGACAGAGAAUCCCCACCGAAGAGAGGUUCACUUACGGACAUGGAUGAUGAUGAAGAUGAUGAUGGCCCAUGAAACUUGAACAAGCCCGAUGGUGAGAAGAAGACAAAGGAGAAGAUCAAGAGGGAACAUGAAGCAUCGAGCUUGCGGGACAAGAUAGAUGCCAUGGUGCAAUCAAAUGAGUUGAUGUUAGCGAAGACAUUGGAGACAAAGAAAGAGUUGACCGAGAAUAAGGCACGAGAGAAGCAAGAGAAGUGGCAAUUGCUCAAGGACGAGGGGUUGCGCAAGGCGGCCAUUGAGGAGAGAAGAGCCUAUGCCGCUGAGACCAAAGCCAUGGCCAAGCUUCUUGCCGAAGAGAAUAGGAUCAUGACAUUGAACCGCGAUUACAUGAACGACAUCACCAAAGAAUGGCAUGAUAGGGCAAGGAGAGACAUCUUGAAGAGGAGGAUGCUAGCGGCGGCCGGUGGGUGUUUCGGUGCCGGUGAUGUUUUCCCAUCAGGAGUUGGAAUCGGUGUCGCUGAUGCAUUUAGUGCGCUCGACGAUGCUUUCAAUGCCGGAGUUGGAGCAAGUGACGGCGAUGGAUCCGGGGGUGGCGAUGGCAUCGAUGGCGGUGGUGCGGAGUGA